ACGCUCGACACCUACGGGAGACAGCAGUGGGGAAUAUUGCACAAUGGAGGAAACUCUGAUGCAGCGAUGCCGCGUGAGGGAAGAAGGUUUUCGGAUUGUAAACCUCUGUCUUUGGGGACGAUAAUGACGGUACCCAAGGAGGAAGCUCCGGCUAACUACGUGCCAACAGCCGCGGUAAUCUGAGCGGGCUGGCAAGGC
This 198-nucleotide ribosomal RNA is filed under the name uncultured bacterium. RNAcentral's name for it is "partial 16S ribosomal RNA". It matches the Rfam family "Bacterial small subunit ribosomal RNA", at positions 328 to 539 of the family's 1533-position model. The record is from RNAcentral.